AGCUCGGGUCACGAACCGGAUUAGAUACCCGGGUAGUCCGAGCUGUAAACGAUGUCUGCUAGGUGUGACACAGGCUACGAGCCUGUGUUGUGCCGUAGGGAAGCCGUGAAGCAGACCGCCUGGGAAGUACGUCCGCAAGGAUGAAACUUAAAGGAAUUGGCGGGGGAGCACUACAACCGGAGGAGCCUGCGGUUUAAUUGGACUCAACGCCGGACAUCUCACCAGCAUCGACAAUGUGCAGUGACGGUCAGUAUGAUGAGCUUACCUGAGCCAUUGAGGGGAGGUGCAUGGCCGCCGUCAGCUCGUACCGUGAGGCGUCCUGUUAAGUCAGGCAACGAGCGAGACCCGCACCCUUAAUUGCCAGCAGCACCCUUGUGGUGGUUGGGUACAUUAAGAGGACUGCCAGUGCCAAACUGGAGGAAGGAACGGGCAACGGUAGGUCAGUAUGCCCCGAAUGUGCUGGGCGACACGCGGGCUACAAUGGCCGAGACAGUGGGAUGCAACCCCGAAAGGGGACGCUAAUCUCCGAAACUCGGUCGUAGUUCGGAUUGAGGGCUGAAACUCGCCCUCAUGAAGCUGGAUUCGGUAGUAAUCGCGCCUCAGAAGGGCGCGGUGAAUACGUCCCUGCUCC
This 631-nucleotide ribosomal RNA is filed under the name uncultured Natrialba sp. RNAcentral describes it as "bacterial SSU rRNA". It matches the Rfam family "Archaeal small subunit ribosomal RNA", at positions 709 to 1336 of the family's 1478-position model. The record is from RNAcentral. Lineage: Archaea; Methanobacteriati; Methanobacteriota; Halobacteria; Halobacteriales; Natrialbaceae.